CACCGCGUAGCUCAGCUGGAUAGAGCACAUGACUACGAAUCAUGAGGCCGCAGGUUCGACUCCUGUCGCGGUGGCCA
Molecule: transfer RNA, 77 nt
Filed under: Coriobacteriaceae bacterium
Lineage: Bacteria; Bacillati; Actinomycetota; Coriobacteriia; Coriobacteriales; Coriobacteriaceae
Description: tRNA-Arg
Rfam family: tRNA
About the family: Transfer RNA (tRNA) molecules are approximately 80 nucleotides in length.
Source: RNAcentral